Molecule: ribosomal RNA, 552 nt
Filed under: uncultured archaeon
Lineage: Archaea
Description: bacterial SSU rRNA
Rfam family: Archaeal small subunit ribosomal RNA
Source: RNAcentral
ACGGGGUGCAGCAGGCGCGAAAACUUGUCAAUGCACGAAAGUGUGAACGGGCUGCCCCGAGUGCCGUCCGCUGAGGAUGGCUUUUCUCUGCUGUAAGAAGGCGGAGGAAUAAGGAGAGGGCAAGUCUGGUGUCAGCCGCCGCGGUAAUACCAGCUCUCCGAGUGGUAGGGAUGAUUAUUGGGCCUAAAGCGUUCGUAGCCGGCCUUCCAAGUCUUUCGUUAAAUCCAGCGAUUCAAUCGUUGGACUGCGGGAGAUACUGUUAGGCUAGGGGGCGGGAGAAGCCGACGGUAUUCUUGGGGUAGGGGUAAAAUCCUAUAAUCCCAGGAAGACCACCAGUGGCGUAGGCGGUCGGCUAGCACGCGCUCGACGGUGAGGGACGAAAGCUGGGGGAGCAAACCGGAUUAGAUACCCGGGUAGUCCCAGCUGUAAACGAUGCGGGCUAGGCGUUGAAGCGGCUACGAGCCGCUUCAGUGCCGCAGGGAAGCCAUUAAGCCCGCCGCCUGGGGAGUACGGUCGCAAGGCUGAAACUUAAAGGAAUUGGCGGGGGAGCAC